Molecule: ribosomal RNA, 552 nt
Filed under: Psammodictyon panduriforme var. continuum
Lineage: Eukaryota; Bacillariophyta; Bacillariophyceae; Bacillariales; Bacillariaceae
Description: SSU rRNA
Rfam family: Eukaryotic small subunit ribosomal RNA
Source: RNAcentral
UGCAGUAAGCUCGUAGUUGGAUUUGUGGCUGUCACGGGCGGCCUAUCACUUAGUGUUAGUGCUUGCCUGUGUCGCCAUCCUUGGGUGGAGCCCGUGUGGCAUUAGGUUGUCGUGCGGGGGAUGCCCAUCGUUUACUGUGAGAAAAUUAGAGUGUUCAAAGCAGGCUUAUGCCGUUGAAUAUGUUAGCAUGGAAUAAUAAGAUAGGACCUCGGUACUAUUUUGUUGGUUUGCGCACCGAGGUAAUGAUUAAUAGGGACAGUUGGGGGUAUUCGUAUUCCAUUGUCAGAGGUGAAAUUCUUGGAUUUCUGGAAGACGAACUACUGCGAAAGCAUUUACCAAGGAUGUUUUCAUUAAUCAAGAACGAAAGUUAGGGGAUCGAAGAUGAUUAGAUACAAUUCGGUAGUCCAACGGGGGAAAACGUACUGGGACGUGAGAGGUGAAAUUCUUAGACCGUCUCAAGACGAACUACAGCGAAGGCAUUUUCCAAGGAUACCUUCCUCAAUCAAGAACCAAAGUGUGGAGAUCGAAGAUGAUUAGAUACCAUCGUAGUCA